Nematolebias whitei (Rio pearlfish) is the source of this 518-nucleotide long non-coding RNA. RefSeq lists it as uncharacterized. NCBI's taxonomy places the organism in Eukaryota, Metazoa, Chordata, Actinopteri, Cyprinodontiformes, Rivulidae. The transcript is spliced from 3 exons. The record is from RefSeq and is a predicted model, not a curated record.
UUUGAGUUCACAUCUCAUAUUUUCUUUGUUCUAAUUGUAAAGGAUGACACCGGUGCUUGAAGGGAGUUCCUCAUCAAAGGACUCUGCAUCUCUGUGAAGGAGCAUCCUCACGUCUUGGUGCAGGAGGACACGAACGAGCAAAGACAUUAAAGAGGAGAAGAAGUGAAGGAAAGAAUAAAGUCAAAGACGAGUGUUUCCGCGGCAGAGAUGGAGGUCAGCUGGUUCUGUGCAGCAACAAGACCUGCACCACAGUUUACCACCUGUCCUGCCUAAACCUCACCAACACACAGUUUGGACGCUGGGCUGUGACGUCUGCGGGAACAACUGAAGAGACUUUCUGGCGCUGUGUCCCUGGCUCCCAACGGGACAGCUGUGCUGCACGCCUUCUCUGCUGCUCCAAGAGAAAAACAUCCAAAGUCUGACGGGACAUUUCAGAACCAAACCUGUGUGUUAGAGAGAGACAGACAGAUACAGACGGACACAGAUGGAGAAAGAGAGAAAAAGACAGAGAUAUAGAG